Brassica napus (rape) is the source of this 124-nucleotide non-coding RNA. NCBI's taxonomy places the organism in Eukaryota, Viridiplantae, Streptophyta, Magnoliopsida, Brassicales, Brassicaceae. The record is from Rfam.
GGAAGUUAAGAAAUUUUUUCUUAAUUUUUAACUAAAAAAAUUAAGAACCGGUUCUUAAAUAAGGAUUCUAAAAACUGGUUCUUAGUUUUUUAGUUAAAAGUUAAGAAACAAUUUCUUAACUUCC